GAGUUUGAUCCUGGCUCAGGACAAACGCUGGCGGCGUGCGUAACACAUGCAAGUCGAACGCACAGACGUAAGUCUGUGAGUGGCGGACGGGUGAGGAACACGUGGAUGACCUGUCCCGACGUGGGGGAUACCUUGCAGAAAUGGAGGUUAAUCCCGCAUAUGAGCGUGUCGGUAGACCGAGACGCUGAAAGUCUUUCGAGACGCGUUGGGAGGGGUCCGCGGCCGAUUAGCUGGUUGGUGGGGUAAGAGCCUACCAAGGCGACGAUCGGUAGCUGGUCUGAGAGGAUGAUCAGCCACACUGGGAUUGAGAACGGCCCAGACUCCUACGGGGGGCAGCAGUGGGGAAUCUUGCGCAAUGGGCGAAAGCCUGACGCAGCGACGCCGCGUGAGUGAUGAAGGCCUUCGGGUUGUAAAGCUCUGUGGGGCGAGACGAAUAAGUGCAGCCUAAUACGCUGCAUGAUGACGGUAUCGCCUUAGCAAGCACCGGCUAACUCUGUGCCAGCAGCCGCGGUAAUGCCCA
RNAcentral lists this ribosomal RNA (520 nucleotides) under uncultured bacterium. RNAcentral's name for it is "bacterial SSU rRNA". It matches the Rfam family "Bacterial small subunit ribosomal RNA", at positions 9 to 529 of the family's 1533-position model. The record is from RNAcentral.